This 896-nucleotide ribosomal RNA is filed under the name uncultured bacterium. RNAcentral describes it as "bacterial SSU rRNA". It matches the Rfam family "Bacterial small subunit ribosomal RNA", at positions 8 to 916 of the family's 1533-position model. The record is from RNAcentral.
AGAGUUUGAUCCUGGCUCAGGACGAACGCUGGCGGCGCGUCUAAGACAUGCUAGUCGAGCGAUUAAAGCUCCCUUCGGGGAGUGGAUAAAGCGGCGAACCGGUGAGUAACACGUAUCUAACGUACCCUUGUGUCUGGGAUAGCAGAUCGAAAGGUCUGGUAAUACUGGAUAAUUCGGGAUGGUCUAUGGACUAUCUCGGGAAAGCCUUCGGGCGUACAAGGAUCGGGGUGCGGCCUAUUAGCUAGUUGGUGGGGUAAUGGCCUACCAAGGCAAUGAUGGGUAGCUGGUCUGAGAGGAUGGUCAGCCACACUGGGACUGAGAUAAGGCCCAGACUCCUACGGGAGGCAGCAGUUAAGAAUCUUGCACAAUUAGCGAAAGCUAGAUGCAGCGACGCCGCGUGAAGGAUGAAGGCCUUAGGGUCGUAAACUUCUGUUCUAGGGGAAGAUAAUGACGGUACCCUAGAAGAAAGCCCCGGCCAAUUACGUGCCAGCAGCCGCGGUAACACGUAAGGGGCGAGCGUUGUCCGGAAUUACUGGGCGUAAAGCGCGCGUAGGUGGUUUGAUAAGUCGGAUGUGAAAGCCACGAGCUCAACUCGUGAACUGCGUUCGAAACUGUCUCACUCGAGAGUGGGAGAGGGAAGCGGAAUUCCCGGUGUAGGGGUGAAAUCCUUAGAUAUCGGGAAGAACACCAAUGGCGAAGGCAGCUUCCUGGCCCAUUUCUGACACUGAGGUGCGAAAGCGUGGGGAGCGAACGGGAUUAGAUACCCCGGUAGUCCACGCUGUAAACGAUGGGCACUAGGUUUGGGAGGCAUCGACCCCUUCUGAGCCGCAGCUAACGCAUUAAGUGCCCCGCCUGGGGAGUACGAUCGCAAGAUUAAAACUCAAAGGAAUUGACGG